This 318-nucleotide long non-coding RNA is filed under the name Malus domestica (apple). Its description in RNAcentral is "long non-coding RNA (MDOM_LNC005804)". Lineage: Eukaryota; Viridiplantae; Streptophyta; Magnoliopsida; Rosales; Rosaceae. The record is from RNAcentral.
UUGUUAUUAUGUUGUAGGUGCAUUUUCGUCAAAGGAAGAGACGGUGGAAAUUUGCAUCCACAAAUUGGUGAUUUCAUUAAGAGUUCUGAUCUAAGACUUGAAGAAGACUCUCGCUUUCAACUUCCUUUGUUUGUAGAUCCACGACUAUGAUGGUAGGAAAUUCAGAACUAUAACCGAUAGGACCCCUACGUUGAAGGACAUGGACCAAUUAAUGAAGAUCACGAUGUGGCUCCAUGCCGUUGUUCCCCGAGGCUUACCAUGGCAAUGACAGCUUAUUUGUGUUUUUCCACGAGGCACCGUGGCCAUGCCAGCAGUGGC